UACGAAGGGGGCUAGCGUUGCUCGGAAUCACUGGGCGUAAAGGGUGCGUAGGCGGGUCUUUAAGUCAGGGGUGAAAUCCUGGAGCUCAACUCCAGAACUGCCUUCGAUACUGGCGACCUUGAGUCCGGGAGAGGUGAGUGGAACUCCGAGUGUAGAGGUGAAAUUCGUAGAUAUUCGGAAGAACACCAGUGGCGAAGGCGGCUCACUGGCCCGGUACUGACGCUGAGGUGCGAAAGCGUGGGGAGCAAACAGG
RNAcentral lists this ribosomal RNA (253 nucleotides) under uncultured bacterium. RNAcentral's name for it is "partial 16S ribosomal RNA". It matches the Rfam family "Bacterial small subunit ribosomal RNA", at positions 524 to 776 of the family's 1533-position model. The record is from RNAcentral.